GACGUAGGGUCCAAGCGUUGUCCGGAUUUACUGGGCGUAAAGCGUGCGUAGGCGGUUUGUUAAGUCCGUUGUGAAAGCCCUGGGCUCAACCUGGGAAUUGCAGUGGAUACUGGCGAGCUAGAGUGCGGUAGAGGAUGGUGGAAUUCCCGGUGUAGCGGUGAAAUUCGUAGAUAUUCGGAAGAACACCAGUGGCGAAGGCGACUUACUGGACACAUAUUGACGCUGAGGUGCGAAAGCGUGGGGAGCAAACAGG
RNAcentral lists this ribosomal RNA (253 nucleotides) under uncultured bacterium. Its description in RNAcentral is "partial 16S ribosomal RNA". It matches the Rfam family "Bacterial small subunit ribosomal RNA", at positions 524 to 776 of the family's 1533-position model. The record is from RNAcentral.